AGCCAACAUGACCUCCCAAGAGCUUUCCUCCUGCCUUCCCACCACAGGCUUCUCAUUGGUUAUAUGUAUUUUGAAACAGGAAAUCUCGCCAUCCUCACCAAAGCCAUUUCCUUGAGAGGAUUUUAUCUGGUUUGUCUCCUUGACUCCAGGCAGGGCUCCAUUCCAACCAGAUGGAAGAAUGCAGACAUCUCACAUCAUUUACACCCAGAAGGCUGUCAGCAGCAGCGCUCAGGGAGUGAGAGUGUUUAAUCUCGAGGAGGAAAUAGAAUGUAUACACACCCUGCAAACUGAGAUGUUUUACGUUGGCUCUGGCUCCUACCGCCCCCCAUGUGUGGCAGCAGCUACCAAGACUCUACUGUGAAUCCCCAUGACUGUCAUCACCAGCUCCCGUUGGUCCCUGGGGUGGUUUGGCCGCAGUUACAUUGGCACAGUCAUUGGAAAAAUCAUUUCUGUACAUCGCAUCACUGGUGCAUCUGGGCUUCUGCCUGAAGCACAUGUCAGGAGGAAUUGUUGGCAACCCUGAGGGCAAGGACGCAUCUGCCUUGGGCUCCAGGGGUGGUGUGGCUUGCUGGAGUGGGAGGUGCGCAGCCCAGCAGGGUCAGACAUUUCAGUAUGCCACCCCACCCACCACACCCUACUCAGAGUGCAGGCCCCUGCGGCAAAAGCCUGUGCAUGUGCUUUUCUCUCACGGCCCUCAAGAGAGGCCAAAGCUUGUGUUACUCUCACUUGCAUCCUCUGAUGACCUAAAGAGGGGAGAGAGGUCAUUUUCAUGGGGCCAAUUCUAUUCUCUUUUUCUCUUCUCCCUUCUCCUCUUCUUCCUCUUUUUCCCCAUGACAUAUGUAUUAAAAAGUCCACAGACUCUGGUGUACUUCUGGUGGGAAUAUAAUUAAUAUGACCAUUGUGAUAUACUGUUAGUAACAUCUCAUAAAGCCAAAUAUAUAUGGAUACAGUAUGACCCAGCAAUCUCACUCCUAGAAAUAAACCCAAUAGAAAUGCAUGCAAUAGUGCAUCAAAAGGCAUGCACUAGAAUGGUCUUAGCAGCAUUAUUCAUAGUAGCCCCAAACUGGAAAUAAUACAAACGUCCAUCCACAGUAGAAUUGCUGAACAAUUUGUGCUAUACUUACUACAGCAAUGAGAAUGAACAAAAUGAACAACCUGCAGCAACAUGAAUGGACCUCACAAGGAUAAUGUUGAACAUAAGAAGCCAGGCACAAAAGAGUGCAUAUUUUUGUGUCUGACUCCAUUACAUGAAGUUCAAGAAGAAGAAACAUUAAUGUAUGGUUUUGGAAGGCAGGAUGUGGGGAGGUAGUUGGGGCAUGAGGAGGUUUUGGGGGUACAGGGUGGUGGCAGUGUUUUGCUUCUGGUUCUGGGGGAUGGCUAAGUGUGUGUUCAUUUCAUGUAAGUUCAUAUGCAUUUGUGCAAUUGCCUGUAAAGUUGUCAUACUUCGAUAAUAUUAAAAAUAUGAAAAAUAAAAAUAUAAAGCCCAUAUGGGAGAGCACACUUCUCUGCAUUUUUUUUGCACUUUGGCGAUGAGCUGACAGAGGGGUUGUUAACAAGCACCCUACUUGCUCACUGUGCUUGGUAGGAUCCUCAACCUAGCGAGUCCCACCCCAUUCC
RNAcentral lists this long non-coding RNA (1617 nucleotides) under Homo sapiens (human). RNAcentral describes it as "HSALNT0265085". Lineage: Eukaryota; Metazoa; Chordata; Mammalia; Primates; Hominidae. The record is from RNAcentral.